AAAUUGAAGAGUUUGAUCAUGGCUCAGAUUGAACGCUGGCGGCAGGCCUAACACAUGCAAGUCGAGCGGUAGCACAGAGAGCUUGCUCUCGGGUGACGAGCGGCGGACGGGUGAGUAAUGUCUGGGAAACUGCCUGAUGGAGGGGGAUAACUACUGGAAACGGUAGCUAAUACCGCAUAACGUCGCAAGACCAAAGUGGGGGACCUUCGGGCCUCAUGCCAUCAGAUGUGCCCAGAUGGGAUUAGCUAGUAGGUGGGGUAACGGCUCACCUAGGCGACGAUCCCUAGCUGGUCUGAGAGGAUGACCAGCCACACUGGAACUGAGACACGGUCCAGACUCCUACGGGAGGCAGCAGUGGGGAAUAUUGCACAAUGGGCGCAAGCCUGAUGCAGCCAUGCCGCGUGUGUGAAGAAGGCCUUCGGGUUGUAAAGCACUUUCAGCGGGGAGGAAGGCGUUAAGGUUAAUAACCUUGGCGAUUGACGUUACCCGCAGAAGAAGCACCGGCUAACUCCGUGCCAGCAGCCGCGGUAAUACGGAGGGUGCAAGCGUUAAUCGGAAUUACUGGGCGUAAAGCGCACGCAGGCGGUCUGUCAAGUCGGAUGUGAAAUCCCCGGGCUCAACCUGGGAACUGCAUUCGAAACUGGCAGGCUAGAGUCUUGUAGAGGGGGGUAGAAUUCCAGGUGUAGCGGUGAAAUGCGUAGAGAUCUGGAGGAAUACCGGUGGCGAAGGCGGCCCCCUGGACAAAGACUGACGCUCAGGUGCGAAAGCGUGGGAGCAAACAGGAUUAGAUACCCUGGUAGUCCACGCCGUAAACGAUGUCGAUUUGGAGGUUGUGCCCUUGAGGCGUGGCUUCCGGAGCUAACGCGUUAAAUCGACCGCCUGGGGAGUACGGCCGCAAGGUUAAAACUCAAAUGAAUUGACGGGGGCCCGCACAAGCGGUGGAGCAUGUGGUUUAAUUCGAUGCAACGCGAAGAACCUUACCUGGUCUUGACAUCCACAGAACUUUCCAGAGAUGGAUUGGUGCCUUCGGGAACUGUGAGACAGGUGCUGCAUGGCUGUCGUCAGCUCGUGUUGUGAAAUGUUGGGUUAAGUCCCGCAACGAGCGCAACCCUUAUCCUUUGUUGCCAGCGGUCCGGCCGGGAACUCAAAGGAGACUGCCAGUGAUAAACUGGAGGAAGGUGGGGAUGACGUCAAGUCAUCAUGGCCCUUACGACCAGGGCUACACACGUGCUACAAUGGCAUAUACAAAGAGAAGCGACCUCGCGAGAGCAAGCGGACCUCAUAAAGUAUGUCGUAGUCCGGAUUGGAGUCUGCAACUCGACUCCAUGAAGUCGGAAUCGCUAGUAAUCGUAGAUCAGAAUGCUACGGUGAAUACGUUCCCGGGCCUUGUACACACCGCCCGUCACACCAUGGGAGUGGGUUGCAAAAGAAGUAGGUAGCUUAACCUUCGGGAGGGCGCUUACCACUUUGUGAUUCAUGACUGGGGUGAAGUCGUAACAAGGUAACCGUAGGGGAACCUGCGGUUGGAUCACCUCCUUACCUUAAAGAA
Molecule: ribosomal RNA, 1549 nt
Filed under: Klebsiella pneumoniae subsp. pneumoniae
Lineage: Bacteria; Pseudomonadati; Pseudomonadota; Gammaproteobacteria; Enterobacterales; Enterobacteriaceae
Description: bacterial SSU rRNA
Rfam family: Bacterial small subunit ribosomal RNA
Source: RNAcentral